UAGGUUUUCCAACUGAGAAGGAAGAUAUGUUAUGGCUAAGCCAUUUUCAAAUUGGGAACAAUGAAUUGGAGUAUGGGGACCAAAUACGUGUUUCGGUGGAGAUGCAUGAUUUUUGGAUAAAGGAGUUCGGAAUCCAGCUUGUGUACGAGCAGGAAAGACCUCCUUCUAGCCAGAAUAAUGUUGUUGCUGGAGAUGUGUCAAUGUCAGCAUCAGAGUACCAAACGUGGACAGGAUCAUACUUUCUCAGUAAUCAUAGGCGCCGUACUCAUCAAACUCAAUUCCGAAAGAGACAGAAGAAUCCAGCACAUAUUGAAUUUUCGUUUGAGCCAAAGCAUUAGCUUCAUACUUAUUCAAGGCCCAAAGACAACAACAACAACAACAACAACAACAACAAAGCCUUUUCCCACCAAGUGGGGUCGGCUAUAUGAAUCCUAGAACGCCAUUGCGCUCGGUUUUGUGUCAUGUCCUCCGUUAGAUCCAAGUACUAAAAAGUCUUUUCUUAGAGUCUCUUUCCAAAGUUUUCCUAGGUCUUCCUCUACCCCUUCGGCCCUGAACCUCUGUCCCGUAGUCACAUCUUCGAACCGGAGCGUCAGUCGGCCUUCUUUGCACAUGUCCAAAUCACCGGAGCCGAUUUUCUCUCAUCUUUCCUACAAUUUCGGCUACUCCUACUUUACCUCGGAUAUCCUCAUUCCCAAUCUUAUCAUUUCUCGUGUGCCCACAAAUCCCACGAAGCAUCCUCAUCUCCGCUACACCCAUUUUGUGUACGUGUUGAUGCUUCACCACCCAACAUUCUGUGCCAUACAACAUCGCUGGCCUUAUUGUCGUCCUAUAAAAUUUUCCCUUGAGCUUCAAUGGCCUACGACGGUCACACAACACGCCGGAUGCACUCUUUCCAUCCAGCUCGUAUUCUAUGGUUGAGAUCUCCAUCUAAUUCUCCGUUCUCUCUUGCAAGAUAAAUCCUAGGUAGCGAAAACGAUCGCUUUUUGUGAUCUUCGCUAGAUUGCUCCGGUCAUUAGUGUGGAUAAGUAUAUAAAUGGAUAGAGAUAGGAAAGCAAAUACAAGAUGUACGUGGUUCACCCAGAUUGGCUACGUCCACGGAAUAGAAGAGUUCUCAUUAAUUGUGAAAGGUUUACACAAGUACAUAGGUUCAAGCUCUCCUUUAGUGAGUACAAGUGAAUGAUUUAGUACAAAUGACAUUAGGAAAUAUUGUGGGAGAAAGAUCUCGUAAUCACGAAACUUCUAAGUAUCGGAGUGUGGUGUGUCGUCUUGACUUGCCUUAUCUGUCUCAUAGGUAGAUGUGGCAUCUUCUCUCUGGAAGUACUCUUCCUCCAUCCAGGGGUGGUAUCUUUAACUGGUGGAGAUGCACAAGGUAAUGUAUCAAUUUCACUUGAAGCUUACUUGUAGUUUCAGGCUUGGUCAAGCGCGAUACAAACCAUGUAGUAGGAGUCCCCCAAGUCGCCGAGCUGGUGGAGAUGCCCUAUCUGUUCCUCAAGCAGAUGCGGAAUCUUCCCUGGAAACAUAAGAUGUUGAAGAUGAGUACUCGAGAGCAAUGCCAGGUAAGUAAUCAGGUAAGGGGUUCCAGGCAGUCAGUUCCUGGCUGGAAGCUUGAUUCCAAGUGCUGACUGAUUGCUCUCUUUCUCCUUGUCUUGCAGGUAAAAACAAGGCCAAAAGAAAAAACAGGGAAAAAGCAUGAUAUGGGAUACUCUUGCUUUUAACCCUGAUGAUAUGAGAUAUUCUUGCUCUAGUAUAGCUUGUUUGCAGAGGUAUUAUCGGGGGGAAAGAAAGCUGAAUAUUUCGAAAGGCUUCGUUGGGAGUGCCCUCUCAGAUAUGAUGAAGGGUUGAGCAUUUUUGCAGGUCUGCCUGUCCGUUGGGGAUGGAGGUCGACAUAUAUAGGAGUCUCCCUAACAACAAGUAGUAAUGCUAUUCCUUUACCCUGCUUGGUCAUAGCACGGUAGUGGGAGCUGCUAGUUUCACAUGUUUUAACUCUGUCAGAGCACUUUGAAAAAGUGGUCUGUGGUAUCUGGCUCUCGAGAUUCGGAGAACGAUGCCUCUUCGAGUUUUGAGAAAGCAAUCAUGAUGGGGGUCUGACUCUCGAGAUUCGGAGAGCAGUGUCUCUUAGAUUUUUGAGGAAGUAAUCAUGUUGGGAGUCUGGCUCUCGAGAUUCGGAGGGGCGGUGCCUCUUCGAUUUUGGAGCAAGCAAUCUUGUUGGGAGUGUUGUCUCGAAUGUGAGUAAAGGUUGGACAUGUUUGCUAGUCUACCUUGCCACGAAGCACAAAGGUUGACACACACAGGGACUUUCCAAUUAUCCAGCAAUGGUACUGUUCCUUUACCCUAUCUUCGAUUUUGAGAAAGUAGUUAUGUUGGGAGUCUGGCUCUCGAGAUUCGGAGGACGGUGCCUCUUCGAUUUUGGAGCAAGCAAUCUUGUUGGGAGUGUUUUCUCGAAUGUGAGUAAAGGUUGGGCAUGUUUGCUAGUCUACCUUGCCACGAAGCACACAGAGGUUGACACACAGGGACUUUCCAAUUAUCCAGCAGUGGUACUGUUCCUUUACCCUUGUGGGUAAUAAUAUGGUAGCUAGACCUUCAAAAUUUAUGUGUCUAAACUUUGUUAGUGCUGUUUCUUUGCUAUUCUUUUACCUUUCUUGGUCAGAGCGAUGUAGUGGGAGCUGCAAGCUUCACGUGCUCAACUUUGGCAGAGAACUUUGGCAAAGUUAUCUGUGGUACCCAUGAGUUAUUGUUGUGUGUGGGAAGUGGGUGAUUGAACAGUAAGAUUCAUGUGCUUUCUACUUCACCAGAAGUCUUCGACAGAAUGCCCAUAAUUUCUGCAAAGCUGAGUGUGCGUGUGACAGGUGCUGACAAGGCUAGAAAAGUAGGUGCCUCUUCGAUUUCUGAGAUCGGCCCUCGUGGUCUCUGAGCAGCCCCAGCUUUUGAGAAAGCGAACGCCUCUUCGAUUGAUUCGGAGAACGAUGCCUCAUCGAUUUUUGAGAAAGCAAUCAUGCUGGGGGUCUGGCUCUCGAGAUUCGGGGAGCAGUCUCUUCGAUUUUUUGAGAAAGUAAUCAUGUUGGGAGAGUGGCUCUCGAGAUUCGGAAGGCGGUGCCUCUUCGAUUUUGGAGCAAGCAAUCUUGUUGGGGGUGUUUUCUCGAAUGUGAGUAAAGGUUGGGCAUGUUUGCUAGUCUACCUUGCCACGAAGCACAGAGGUUGACACACACAGGGACUUUCCAAUUAUCCAGCAAUGGUACUGUUCCUUUACCCUCUCUUUCGAUUUUUAAGAAAGUAAUCAUGUUGGGAGUCUGGCUCUUUAGAUUCGGAGGACGGUGCCUCUUCGAUUUUGGAGCAAGCAAUCUUAUUGGGAGUGUUUUCUCGAAUGUGAGUAAAGGUUGGGCAUGUUUGCUAGUCUACCUUGCCACGAAGCACAGAGGUUGACACACAGGGACUUUCCAAUUAUCCAGCAGUGGUACUGUUCCUUUACCCUUGUGGGUAAUAAUAUGGUAGCUAGACCUUCAAAAAUUUAUGGGUCUAAACUUUGUUAGUGUUGUUUCUUUGCUAUUCUUUUACCUUUGUUGGUCAAAGCGAUGUAGUGGGAGCUGCAAGCUUCACGUGCUCAACUUUGGCAGAGAACUUUGGCAAAGUUAUAUGUGGUACCCAUGAGCUAUUGUUGCGUGUGGGAAGUGGGUGAUUGAACAGUAAGAUUCAUGUGUUUUCUACUUCCCCAGAAGUCUUUGACAGAAUGCCCAUAAUUUCCGCAAAGCUGAGUGUGCGUGUGACAGGUGCUGACAAGGCUGGAAAAGUAGAUGCCUCUUCGAUUUCUGAGAUCGGCCCUCGUGGUCUCUGGGGAGCCCAGCUUUUGAGAAAGCGAGCGCCUCUUCGAUUUCUGAGAUCGGCCUUCGUGGUCUUUAAGCAGCCCAACUUUUGAGAAAUCAAACGCCUCUUCGAUUUCUGAGAUCAACCCUCGUGAUCUCUAAGCAGCCCAACUUUUGAGAAAGCAAACGCCUCUUCGAUUUCUGAAGCUCCGUCGAGUGCAGAUUUUUAUAGGGGCUGGCAUUAAGUUCCAAAGCACACUUGAAUCUCCACCAGUAGAAGCUUCAUUCUUGCACUUCUAAGAUCUUGAUUUGUCCGACCUCUUCUCUCUUCAACACCUUUGAAAAUGUCUGGCCCCUCCGACCGUCGUUUUGACUUAAACCUUGUUGAAGAGGCAGCCCCGCCUUCUCCAGACAACAUAUGGCGCCCAUCCUUCGUCUCCCCAACUGGUCCUCUUACCGUUGGGGAUUCCGUGAUGAAGAAUGAUAUGACCGCUGCGGUGGUGGCCAGGAACCUUCUCACUCCCAAAGAUAACAGACUACUUUCCAAACGGUCUGAUGAGUUAGCUGUUAAGGAUUCGUUGGCUCUCAGUGUUCAGUGUGCAGGUUCUGUGUCUAAUAUGGCCCAACGCCUAUUUGCUCGAACCCGCCAAGUUGAAUCAUUGGCGGCUGAAGUGAUGAGUCUCAAAACAGGAGAUUAGAGGGCUCAAGCAUGAGAAUAAACAGUUGCACCGGCUCGCACAUGACUAUGCUACAAACAUGAAGAGGAAGCUUGAUCAGAUGAAGGAAACUGAUGGUCAGGUUUUACUUGAUCAUCAGAGAUUUGUGGGUUUGUUCCAAAGGCAUUUAUUGCCUUCGUCUUCUGGGGCUGUACCACGUAAUGAAGCUCCAAAUGAUCAACCUCUGAUGCCUCCUCCUUCUAGGGUUCUGUCCAGUACUGAGGCUCCAAAUGAUCCCCCUCUGAUGCCUUCUCUUUCUGGGGCUCUACCGACUGCUGAGACUUCUCCUAAGCAACCUUUGUGAAGGCUCCCUCUUGUGUGUUUAUUUUGACUCAUGUAUAUGUACAUAUUUGUAGCUUAUCGGGGAUAUCAAUAAAUAAGCUUUCCUUCAUUUCAACGUAUUGUGUUAAAUACACCAAAUCCUUCUUCGCUAAGUUCUUUGAAUUUUCUUUUGUUGAAGCUUGUAUGUUGAAGCUUGUAUGAUUCAAGGCCCAAAGACCAUUGAAAAUAUUUUGAAACUUAGAGCAUGUCCAGCAGAUUCCCCAUCUACAUCUACUCACCUAUUUUGGAGAAAAUGAAGAGAAACCUCCUUAGUACUUUUUCCAACAUCAUUCGUUCAUGGUUGGAAGGAAAGAUCAGCAUCAAUUAUCCUGGUGAGUGUCGUCUUUUUGUUCUUUCUUGUUGAAUUUUUGAUGUGUAUUUCAUAUCAAAACAAUUACAAGAUGAAACAUUAUAUAGGAAAAGAAAGAGAACAUAAGCCUAAACUUGCCUAACUUGCCUAACUUGCCUAAUUUCCUAACUUGCCUAACUUGCCUAAUUUACACAAAGAAGGUUGACUAGCCUAACUUCACUAGUCAUCCAACAUGUUUAUUUCAUGCAUGCAUUUUAACAAAAGAUAUGACUUGCAUGAAUUCCAACAUUUCUUGUUAUAUCUUUCUCAAUAUAAACUCAUGGGUUUGUUGGAUUUGUUGCUCUUUGUUUAUUGCUUUGAUUUGUUAAUUGAAUGAAUAUAUUAAACAAAAGGAGGGGAAAGCUCUACGAACUCGUGUAGUUGAUGCAUGUAGUACUCAGUACUACUCUUUCAGACAAUAAUCCUAACUUUUAAUCCCACUUAACGUAAUACAAUUUGGUGUCUGUAGUAUGUUUGGUGGUCUAGAUCACUCAUUUGAGAUAUACAUGUGAACCAGAAAGCUGUUUAACUUGGAAAAAGGCGAAAUUUAGCAUGCCCAUGAACUUUUAAAAUGUUGGGAGCAGCUCAGGUUUGAGUCCCAGCAAAGGAAUGCUUUUCUUAAUUUUUGCACGACUUACAGCUGGUGCGAGGGACCUCUGCGCGUUAACUAUGUGUCAGUCUGGGUCCAUUUAUUCCCUAGCCAUCAGUGUGCUGUCUAACUUUGUCUUUUAUAUUCACAAAAAAGCAUUGGCAGUCUUGACAGUGUCGAAACUGUUUACCGUGUUCAAACCGUGUGCAGGGCGUGUCAGCAUGUCAGAGUGUCUGACACUUUGAGGUUUGGGAGUGUCCGUGCAACCUAGGCUUCAAGGACGAGAUGGACAAGGUGGAGAAGUGGAGAAGAGCGCUUACUGAUGUUGCAAAUCUGGGAGGGAUGGUUCUAGAAGAUCGGUAAUUUCGUAAAACAUUUUCUUUAAUUUGAAAGUAUUAUCUAUAUAUGACCUUUUAGAGGUCGCACUUGGUGCGAUGGCAAGUGCCUUCGCCUAUGAGCGGUAGGUCUCAGGUUUGAGACUUGGGAGAGCAGCCUCUCCAUAAAUGGGGUAAGGCUAGCCGACAUUCACCUCUCCCAGACCCUGCGUAAAGCGGGAGCCUUGUGCACUGGGUACGACCUUUUUUUAUCUAUAUAUGACCUUUUAUAACUUGUUUAUUAGGCACAUUAUUGUUAGCUUAUUGGAGACUAAGGCCACCCCUCUUUCUUUUAGGGUAGAUAAUAUCGUUUGUUGACAAAAAAAAAAAAAAAAAAACUUGUUUAUUAGGUUGAUGAUAGUAAAGCCAUAUGGAGUUGACGGAUUUUGGGUUUAUAACUUUAUACUAUCUUUCAUGUACCUGUGCAGCAAUAUUUUUUAGAAGAUUCAAAUUUUCAAGUCAAUUUUUCAAUGUCUUAUAUAUAAUCUACCUGCAUUACUCAUGUCAAUCAUCAAUUACUCUUUUCUUUAGAUAAAAAUUACAUAGUCUUCAUAUGAUUUGAUGUCUAAUGACCAUAUGUUGUAGGGUAUGAGUGGCAGUUUAUCCAAGAUAUUGUUCAAGAGGUUGGAAGUAAGCUGGAUCGCGUGGCAGUAAAUGUUGCUCCCUAUGCUGUUGGAAUCGAUAAUUGUGUGCACGGAAUCAACAGAUGGUUAAAAGAUGAUUCGGGUGAUGCUGGUGCAGCGGUUAUCUAUGGGAUGGGUGGAAUUGGCAAAACCACCAUUGCCAAAGCUGCUAAUAAGACGAACCUUGCAAAAUUUUAAGGAAACGACAGCUUUCUUGCAGAUAUUGGCUUGCAAAUAAAUCUUCUUUCCGAUAUCCAAAGGGUGAAAGUAAAGAAAAUAAGCAAACAUGAAGGACUGAUCAAGAUUAAGCAUGCUGUAGGUUGCAAUAGAGUUCUUAUAGUUCUUGAUGAUGUGAACCAUUUGGACCAAUUCAAUGCAAUUCUUGGAAUGCGAUAGUGUUUUCACCCGGGAAGUAAAAGUUACCGUAACAACUAGACAUAAAAGGCUCAUGAUAUUUAUCCAGUAUUUGAGAUUAAAGAACUGAGUGAAUAUGAAAACACUGAAGCUUUUCAAGCGACAUGCCUUCGGGCAAGCCAAUCCCAUUGAAAGUUACUUGGAGUCAUGAACCUCGACCAAAUUGAAGCAAUCUUUGAGAAUCAAUUGCUAAUGGUUUGGGACUUCUGACAAGUUGGGGGUUGUCAUAAGGCCAUGUGAGUGACUGAGAUUAACGGUUCAGUCUUGGAAGGGAACCAGGGUAUGUUCUAAUCUCUCUCUCUCUCUCUCUCAAAAUACACACAAUCAAAAAUAAAUUUCAGUGAAAUUAAACUGUGUAUUCAUAGCAACUAAUGACUUCUCUUUGACACAGUUUCUUAGAAGAUUGAAAAUUCUAAAUCUUAGUCAUUCGCAUGGCCUUAGGACAACAUCUGACUUGUCCGGACUCCCUAAAGGAUUGCAUUAAUUUGAUUGAUGUUGAUGAAUCCAUUGGAAACUUGGGGAAACUUAUUUUCUUGAAUCUAAAAGACUGCAAAAGUCUUAUGAAGCUUCCAAAAAGAAUGAACAUGUUGAGGUCUCUUGAGGAAUUUAUUCUUACUGGUUGCUCAAAGCUUGUUCUUCAUGACAGUGCCACGGUUAUUCAUUUACACUCUACAUCUAGGGAUAUGAAUAAACUUAGACUGUUAUCAAUUAUAUCAUCGACACGAGAAAUUUUUCCAAAUGACCGGUACAACUGUUGAGUUGGAGUUCCCCUCCAAUUACAUGAUGCCACAUAUCCUACUACAGCUGCAUAGAUUAGUUUUGUUUAAUAAAAAAAAAAAAGAAAAAGAAAAAACUUGUAGAAGGUGUAAAGUCACCCUCCCAGCGGCCGAUCCCCACCAAGGCGACUCACUUCCGAUUGACGACGACGAAGAAGAUUUCAGCUUCCUCGAGGACCCCACCGACCACAGCGCCGCCGCCCCGCACCAUUCAGAUUCGGACAAUUACGACGAUUUCGAGAACUUCUCCGAUGUCGACGAGGACGCUUUCAGGAGAUGAUGGCAGGCUUGGUAGCCCCAAGACUCCUAACUGGGUUUAUGGCAUUUUCAGUGAUGGGGAUGGGGUGGUGGCCAUUUUCGGUGAUGGGUUGAUGCAAUUUUGGGUUUUUGAUCAAAACCCAUCAAAAUUCACCACCACUUAGUCAAAAAUCCAAAUCAAACCCCAACAAAAACAAUCAAAUUCACAAGUUUUAUCUGAGAAAGAAAAAAAAACAUGAACAGAUUAUGGAAAAGGGUGGAAUGGAUGCGGGUGGGGCGUAAUAGAAUGGAAAAGAGAGGAAUCUGUGUUCUUCAUUUAAUUAAUUUAAAUUCUAUUCUUAAAAUAAAUAUUAUUUGUCAUUAUAAAAGAUGAUGUCAACCUAGAUGUCAGAUGUUAAUAGGUGGAACACCAGGUCAGCAAAUGUACCCGUCACGUGGAAAAUUUUCUCCAUGGACACCAAUCAGGUGUUUGGUGGAUGUGGGCAUGGCCAGGAAAGACUCAUCAAUCAACGAGUUUCUCUCUGGCAAGUGUACGCCCUUUUUUGGGGAAGCUUAAGUUUGUCUUACUGCAACAUGUCAGGUUCCCAAUAAUCUGUGUACACUAUCUUCGUUGAAGCAUUUGAAUCUAAUUGGUAAUCCAAUUUUGUGCCUACCACAAAAAAUGAAGAGUCUUAUUAUGCUUGAGACUCUUUUGUUAGAUAAUUGCACGAACCUCGAAAUUCUUCCAGAGCUCCCACCAAGGUUGAAGAGGUUAGAAGCAAAAUAUUGUACUUCAUUGAAAAGAUUAAGAAAUUUACCAAACUUAUUCAGAUCAUUGGAAUCACUUUUUUGGGGUUAUGAGCAUUUAGUUGAAGUUGAAAGCUUGUUGAAUAUAAAACCGUUGAGAAAUGCUGACAUAGAAAUGACAAGAUAUAUGGGCCUGUGCAGUUUGAAAUCCAUAUCAAGCACUGGUGUCGAAAGAUCUCCAUCUAGCCAAAAUAAUGUUGUUGCUGGAGAUGUGUCAAUGUCAGCAUAAGAGUACCAAAUGUGGACAGGAAAAUACUUUCUCAGUAAUCAUAGGCACCGUACUCAUCAGGCUCAAUGGUUCACAACUUAUUCAAGGCCCAAGGACCAUUGGAAAAUAUUGCGAGAGGAUGUCCAGCAGAUUCCCCAUCUGCUUCUCGUAAUCUGUUUUGGCGAAAAUGAAGAGAAACAUCCUCAGUUCUUUGUCCAACAUCAGUCAUUUCAUUUAUGGUUGGAAAGAAAGACCAGCAUCAUUUUCCUUGGUGAGUAUCGUCGUUUUGUUCUUUCUUGUUCUCGUUCUGAGUAUAUACUCAUGGCUUUGUUGGAUUUGUUGCGCUUUUUGCUUAUUGUCAUAAAGAGCAAUCAAGGAAAAAAAACCGGAACAGUCUGCAUGAGUUUGUUGGAAAUUAUAUAUUAUAGUAUAAAAUAUUGUAAUAUAUAAUUUUAAUAAUUGAAUGAAAAAAUAGUGUUAACCAUAUUUCUUAGAAAUGUUAUGUUAUUUAGGUGCAUUCCCUUGUUAAAUAAUGUAUACUUAUAGAUGAAAAGUUACAUCUCCUAACAAGAAGUACUUGGGUUCUAUUUAAACUCAUGAAACCAUUAUCAUUAAAUAUAGAAAAUUAGAGUUAAUUUUUACUCUUGAGAAAUAAGGUUUUCUCACUUUGUUUCUCUCAUGGUUCGUGUGUCAAAUUCCAAGUCAUGUCUUGAAAGUACGGAAUAUAUAAAGUUCGUCAGAGUUUGAAGAUUGAAGUGCUUUGACUUCGGAUUAUGGAUUUUUGAAUCUUGAGAGAUGGACACCUACUGAACUACAAGCACACGAGUAUGGGCGAAAUUCUAUCUUUAGGACAUUACAUUUAUGCAAGCCUCAAUCUCCAAGUUUGUCAGUUUUUCUAACUUUAUCUCUAGUUGUUUAUAUUAAUCUCCAAUUGGACCUGUUUCAAAAAUAGGUUAAAAAAUUAGACCUAUUUCAAAUUAUCCCUUAUUAUUAUUACAUUUCUUAUGUUAUUUUCAUAUUUUCUAAUCUUCAACAGAGUUUGCAUAUGAAGUUUUCAACCCCCUAUAGAGCAAAACCAACUUGAGCGUAACAGCAGUGGGGCAACAUAUGUUUCUGAAAAUCCUACAGUUAGUUUCCCUCCAAAACUCCUUACAAACGAAUCUUGAGCACCUGCAUUGCCUAAUAAUUGUUUUAACUACCAUGUUAACAGAAGUAAUAACUGUAAACGGACUAUAACAGUUGAGAAAUAUUUAAGUACCAAAAAGAGUCAGCUAUAUCAGAAUAAUUAUACUAGAGUUGAGUCGUUUAACUUCUCAUCUGUUAUGGCUUAGUCCUUUUAUGGCGGACAUUAACUCCGUUUUUCUAUAUUUUCAGAGAAAGUUCGUAAAAUUUAAAUCCUAUUGUUCUUUUUUGGCCUUUUUCUAAUAUUUUUCUGCCUUUUUCUACUGUAGUACUACUCCAGACAAUAAUCCUAGUGGCCCAAAAUUAUAUCCUAACUUUAAAUCCCAAUUAAGGUGAUAUAAUUGGUUUUUUAUGUUUAUGCUCGCUAGAAACCUCAUUGAUCACUCAUUGGUGCCUGUAGUAUUUGUGGUGUUCUAGAUCACUCAUUUGAGCAAUACAUGCGAACCAAAAUGUGGGUAGCAGCUCAGGUUCAUGCUUUCUUAAUUUUUGCACGACUAGCAGCUGGUGCAAGGGACCUCCUUGUGUUAACUACGUGCCAGUCUGGGUCCAUUUACUGCACGUUAACUUGGGAAUGACCUAACGAGGACCUGAGAUACUCAAGAACCCGUACCACACUUUUUCUUUUUCUCUCUUUUUCCUUUUUGUUUUAGGAUUGGUUUGGUAUUGCUGUGUUUUGAAAAAAAAUUAUUGUGAAAAUAAGCGGGUGUGCUGUAAGAAUAAGCGGCUGUGAAAUAAAUCAGCAGGGUGUUUGGUAAACUUUUUUGUAAAAAUACUUUUGGAAAAAAAAGCAGUCUAAUAGUGGGUCUUUUCAUUAAAGAAGCAUUGUAGCUCCGUGUGUUUUAAAAAAAAGCCAAUUUUCCAAAACUGCAAAUAGCAGCUUCAGCUUUUUCCUUUGAUUUCAGCUUAUUCUCACAGCAGCUUCCAAAAUAAGCUUUUUUUUUUCAGUUUACCAAACACCUAAAACCCUCACAGUUUUUUUUCAUGGGUGUUUUUUUUUUAAGCACCUCACUCCCAAACUAGGUCUUAGUCAUAUCUUUUUCUUUCCGUGCGGACCUCAUCGAAAUCAAACAAAAAAAGGAAAAAUUAAACUCAUCAUUAACUUCCGGAUGAAACUUUAAACCAAGUGGUGUGAGAUUUUUCCAUGAUUCAGGUGGGGGGAGGUGGGCUGGGGUCAGUUCUCAUUAUUUACUCACCCCUACACAUCUGUGCAUCCACCCCAAUUUAGAUGUUUUGGGACCUUGGACUAACAAUAUUUUUUAAGAGGUGUGAUAUCCACACACCUCAUUUUACUUCUCACGCAUCCUUGAUAAUUUCUGUCCGUUGAUCUUCUUCAAUUCAUCCGAUCUGACGGCCGAAAAUUAUAAAGGUGUGUGAGAAGUAAAAUGGGGUGUGUGAAUAUCAUACCUCUUUUUCAAAUACUAGAGAUGAGAUUGGAGAGAGAUGUGAGGAGGGAGGAGGAGCGAGAGAGAAUAGUACGGUUACAUUUUAGAAUUUUUAUGACAUAAAAUAUUAAUAAUGAUAAAAGUUAACUAGAGUUAUGUGAGAGGACAUAUAUCAAGCUAAAAGUGUGUGGAUAGCAUACAUCAGGAUAAGUUCAAUGCAUUUUUACUCACUGCUCUCAAGUGAUGGUGAUGCUCACAAUAUUUUUAUUACAGUUCGAUAAGUUUAAUUUUUAAAAUUUAUGUCUUCCACAGCAAAACAGAUUACAAAUAAUAAACAUACGAACAAACGGAUUACAAAUUAUUGAAUAUAUUUGACUAACAAAACAACAAAGAAACAGGAUUGUCGAGACGACUACACUCAACUACAUAGCAACUUAUUAUCCAUCUAAACAAACUACAUUUGUGGGGAGCAAAAUCUAAGAAAUCCUAAUUCAAAUGGGAUAGACCUAAAUCAUAAACUAAUAAGCAAAACCAAAUAAUGAAAUAACUAAUUUUUCAACACUCGUCAAAUUCAAGAGGGUACGUGACAUGAGUUUACCAACAAAUAAAUUUUAAUUUAGACAUAAUGAUGUUGAGAGUAUAAAAAGAAAGUAAAUAAGUACUCACCACAAAUAAGAUUUUCAUAUUUCAAUUCCAACAAUGAACAAACAAAAACAACACUUUCACUCGAAUAUUCACAGAUCCCAAACAAGCCAAUAACUCGCAUCGGCCUCAAGGACUUCAUAAAACAAACCGCCCAUUUCAUUUUUCCCUUUGCCCGUGUGGGCCAAAACCUCAACCAAUUUCCAAUUAUUUCUUUUCCGUGUGGACCUCAAACAUACCACCACUUUUUCUUCUUUUUCUUUUUCUAUCUUUUUUCCUUUUCUUUUUCCCCAUCUUUUACUCACCCUCGUUUACCAAAAAGAAAAAGCAAAGAGAAAACAAAAGAUUCGUCCUUCUUCUUCAGCUGCUCUGGUAGCAUCUCCCACCUCCUCUUCUUCAUCAACUAUUAAGACCGACUCCCAUUCAGAUCCUUGAAAAUUUGGGCAUGGAACUAUAGUUAUCUACUUAAGGUUGCGAGUGAGCAAAAUUUGAUUUGUGAAAUCGUCCAUUUCAAAGUGUCUUUUUGAAGAAACUAGUUGGGACUUUCAUCCAACAGCUUGCCGGCAGAAAGAAAAUUCGCAGCUUUCGGUAUCUUACAAUACACAACUCUGGUGUGUGCGAGGUACCUUCAAGCUCCCCUCUUGUGAAAACAUACAUCUGCUUUAGCUUUCAAUUGAAAUCUUCAUGGCCGAUGAGUCAAAUGCAUUGACUUUGGAUCCUCUUGCUUUCUUAUCUUUAUUUUUCUUUUUAAUAUUUUCCUAUUAAAACUAAGAUCUAAAGUCUUUAAAUUCAUGGAAAUUAUUUUGUAAGACUUCAAUAUUUUUUUUUUUUUUUCAGAAACGUGAACUAAAUCCAUUUCAUGAAGAAAGAUCUAGUCCUUUUCGUUUUUUUCUUCUUAAAAUAAAUAUGAGUCAUUAUUAUUAAUAAUUAAUUUUUUUUAAAUUGGUAGAAUAUAUUUUUGCAUAAAGUUUUAAUAAGAAUUUCUUUUAGGAUUACACAUAAUGUGUCGUUAGCUUUUUACAUACCAAAUUUAUGAUAAUAUUUAUGUACGGAUAGUUUUCUAUGUAUUUAAAUAAUAAUUACAUAACAUACCAAAACAAAUUUGUACACAAAUUUGAAUUACAUAGCAUGCCAAUAACGUACCAAAUUAUUGACACGUUACAUUUAGUAAAUAAAAGCAUUGAUAUAUAUAUAUAUAUAUAUAUAUGUAAUAUCGUUUAGAAUUUUAAAGUACGUUGGUACUUUUAAAAUAUCACGUUUGAUUUUUUUUUGUUUUUUGCAACCACAGUUUAACUUUAUUUUAUUUUAUAAACAAUUCAACUUUUAUUGUUUUUAUAGAACUUUUAUUGUUUUUUAUUCUUUUAAAAUAUAUUGAAAUAAAAAGAUAUAAAUUAACAAUAUAUUGAAAAAAAAUUAGAUAUUUGGUCUAAGAAAUUAAAAAACCGCGCAUCUAGAUCAAAAAGAUAUAAAUUAACAUUAUUUGUUUGUUUUUUAUUCUUACUAGACAACAAUUUAUCUUUUUUUUUGGCCUUCUGAGUGCUACUCGAGACUCCAACUUAUUAGAUUUUCCAUCAAUUUUUGAGAUCCCAAAUGGCGAGCCAAUGUUUCAACGCGUAUUCUAUUCACAUUUUACAACUAAUAAGAAUUUGCCUUGUGACUUGGUAACCAAUAACUGGUGUCUCUUGUACUAUUAUUAUGUUUAUCAUAUGAUUCAUAUGAUGCAUCUCAGUGUAAAAUCCGAUAUGUUUGGUAGCUGGAGAAUAUAUUCUCAAUUUGCAUUCCAAUUUGUAUAUAAUAACUCUUCUUCAUGCAUUCACUGCUACAGAUAGACUCUAUUCAAUAGAUGCAAUGAGCACCGAGCAGCAGAAUCCUUCUUCGUCUUCUAACCGGUGCACAUAUGAUGCAUUCUUGAGUUUCAGAGGCGCAGAUACACGCAAGGGCUUUACAGAUCACCUCUACAAUGCUUUGAAGUUAGCAGGAAUCCACACUUUUAGGGAUGAUGAUGAAAUUGAGAGAGGAGAAAACAUUGCACAGGAGCUACAGACAGCAAUACAAGAGUCACAAGUAUCAAUCAUUGUUUUCUCCAAGGACUACGCCUCUUCCACGUGGUGCCUGAAUGAACUUGCUAUCAUCAUGGAACGUAAAAGAACAGAUGGACACAUGGUUAUCCCAGUUUUCUAUUAUGUGGAACCAUCAGAUGUCAGGAAGCAGACGGGCAGUUUUGCAGAAUCAUUUACUAGACAUCAAGAACAAUUCAAGGACGAGAUAGACAAGGUGGAGGAGUGGAGGCGAGCUCUUAGAGAUGUUGCAGACUUGGGAGGGAUGGUUUUAAAAGACCGGUAAUUUUUCAUUCUCUCCUAUAUUCAGUCAAGUAGAUCAGAUGCUAGUCUCAAGCUUGUGAAAAUUUUAGUUUUUUUUUUUUUGAAAAAAUAAAUAAAUAACUUGCUUGUGUCUUUUCUUUUGGUCUGAAAAUAAAGAAAUUACUGUGCCUCAUAUAUUUUGAUAUCAAUAACAUAUAGGUAUGAGUGGCAGUUUAUCCAAGAAAUUGUUGAAGUGAUUGGAAAUGAACUGGACUACAUGACGAAUAGGAGAUUAAGAGUUGAUCCCCAUGUGAUUGGACGAGGUUACUAUGUGGAAAGCCUAAACAUGUGGCUGGAAGAUGGAUCAAAUGAUGUUGGAGUAGCUGUCAUCCAUGGAAUGGGUGGAAUAGGCAAGACCACCAUUGCUAAAAUUGCUUAUAACCAGAACUUCAAUAAAUUUCAAGCUAGCAGCUUUCUUUCAGAUAUUAGGGAAACUUCCAAACAAGCCAAUGGUUUUGUUCACUUGCAAAUGAAGCUUCUUUCAGAUAUCCAAAGGGGGAAAAUGGAAAAAAUAUACAGCCUUGAUGAAGGUAUAGUAAAGAUCAAACGGGUUGUACGUUGCAAAAGAGUUCUUAUUGUUCUUGAUGAUGUGGAGAACUUGGAACAGUUCACUGCAAUUCUUGGAAUGCGAGACUGGUUCCAUCCUGGAAGUAAAAUUAUCAUAACAACUAGACAUGAGUUAAAGGCUCAUGAAGUUUGUGUAAGGUUUAAGGUUGAAGGAUUACAUGCGCAUCAAUCUCUUACACUUUUCAGUUGGCAUGCCUUCGGACAAUCCCAUCCUCAGGAAGGUUACAUGGAGCAUUCAAGACACCUAGUAAAAUGUUGUGGAGGGGUUCCAUUAGCUCUUCAAGUUCUGGGAUCUUCUCUAUUUGGAAAAACAGCAAAUGUAUGGGAAAAUGUAGUACGCAAGUUAAAGGAAAAUGCAGUACCCACCUUAGACGUGAUUACUGAGGGAAAAAUUCAAAAGAUUCUUUGCAUAAGUUUUGAUUCUUUACAAGAUCAUGAUAAAUGUUUAUUCCUCCAUAUAGCCUGUUUCUUCAUAGGAAAAGACAAGGAUUUUGCAACUACAAUCCUUGAUGAAUGUGAUUUUGCGACAGAAGUUGGACUUCAACACCUAGUUGAUAGAUGCCUUGUGGAAAUUAAUGCCCGCAACAAGUUAACCAUGCAUCAAUUGCUUGAAAACAUGGGAAGGGCAAUAAUUCACAAUGAAUCACCUGAGGACCCUGGAAAACGCACUAGACUGUGGCAUAAAAAAGAAGCAAGUGACGUUUUGAGAAAUUUAACGGUAAGAAACAUGAUCUUUAACUGUAUUUAUUUGCAUUGGUGUUCUACAUGUGACUAGUAACUUAUCCAAUGCUCUUAUUUGGUGGCAGGGUAAGAGAAGUAUUAAGGGCCUCAUGCUCCACUGUCCCUCAACAUUUGAAACAAAGGCAUUUACAAAGAUGCUCAAUCUUGAACUACUUCUGCUUGAUAAUGUAAAGUUGAGUGGAAGCUAUGAAGAUUUUCCAAAAAAAUUGAUAUGGCUGUCUUGGCGAGGAUUCUCUUUAAAAUCAAUACCAGCCAAUUUUUGUAUGGAAAAUCUAGUUGUUCUCGACUUACGGAAGAGCAGUCUGCAACAUGUUUGGAACGGAACCAAGGUAUCUUCUAAUCUCUCUCGCUCUCUCUCUCUCUCAAUACACACAACAAAAAUAAAUUUCAGUGAAAGUAAACUGUGUAUUCAUAGCAACUAAUGACUUCUACUUGAUACAGAAUCUUACAAGAUUGAAAAUUCUUAAUCUCAGUCAUUCACAUGGCCUUAGGACAACAUCUGACUUGUCCGGACUCCCUAACCUUGAGAAACUAAUUCUCAAGGAUUGCAUUAAUUUGGUUGAUGUUGAUGAAUCCAUUGGAAACUUGGGGAAACUUGUUUUCUUGAAUCUAAAAGACUGCAAAAGUCUUAUGAAGCUUCCAAAAAGAAUGAAAAUGUUGAGGUCUCUUGAGGAACUUAUUCUUACUGGUUGCUCAAAGCUUGGUCCUCAUGACAGUGCCACGGUUAUUGAUUUACUCGCUACAUCUAGGGAUAUGAAUAAACUUAGACUGUUAUCAACUAUAUCAUGGACACCUAUCAGGUAUUGGUGGAUGUGGGCAUGGCCGAGAAAGACUCUUCAAUCAACCAGUUUCUCACUGGCAAGUUUGCCACGUUGUUUGGGAAGCUUAAGUCUGUCUUACUGCAACGUGUCAGAGGUUCCCAAUGAUCUGUGUACACUAUCUUUGUUGAAGCAUUUGAAUCUAACUGGUAACCCAAUUUUGCCUACCACAAAAAAUGAAGAGUCUUAUUAUGCUCGAGACUCUUUUGUUAGAUAAUUGCACAAACCUCGAAAUUCUUCCAGAGCUCCCACCAAGGUUGAAGAGGUUAGAAGCAAAGUAUUGUACUUCAUUGAAAAGAUUAACAAAUUUACCAAACUUGUUCAGAUCAUUGGAAUCACUUUUUUGGGGUUGUGAGCAUUUAGUUGAAGUUGAAAGCUUGUUGAAUAUAAAACCGGUGAGAAGCGCUGACAUAGAAAUGACAAGAUAUAUGGGCCUGUUCAAUUUGAAAUCCAUAGCAAGCACUGAUGUCGAAAUGAUGAACUACUUGACCGGUACAAGCAGGAAGGCUCCUGUCCAGGUCUUUCUCUGUCUCCUCUCUCAUGUAUAGUUGUUCUAAUUAUUAUAUCUAUGAACUAAUUUGGCCCAACUGUUUGAAUAGUUAAAUUUGAAUUGUAGAUUCUUGAUGAAACAGGUACUCUAUGAAUGUGGCAUAUAUAGCAUUUUCUUUCAUGGAAGCAAGAUUCCAGAUGGAUUUGGCUUCACAAUAAUAUAUAGAUCUGUGCUGUCAGUUAUUGUACCUUCACAUCCCUUUCUAAAAAUCCGAGGCUUGAAUUCAUGUGUGUUAUAUGCAAGAGAACCAGGCUUGGAAUAUCGUCUUACUGUUCAGCAUUUGAUUAAAGUCAGUAAUCAGACCAAGGGUCUUAUGUGGACCUAUUCCCCACUCACAGUAGGUUUGCCUACUGAGAAGGAAGAUAUGUUAUGGCUAAGCCAUUUUCGAUUUGCAAACAACGAAUUGGAGUAUGGGGACGAAUUACGUGUUUCGGUUGAGAUGCAUGAAUUUGUCCGUGUAAAGGAAUUCGGAAUUCAGCUUGUGUACGAGCCGGAAAGACCUCCUUCUAGCCAGAAUAAUGUUGUUGCUGGAGAUGUGUCACUGUCAGCAUCAGAGUACCAAAUG
RNAcentral lists this long non-coding RNA (18018 nucleotides) under Malus domestica (apple). RNAcentral describes it as "long non-coding RNA (MDOM_LNC015756)". The record is from RNAcentral. Lineage: Eukaryota; Viridiplantae; Streptophyta; Magnoliopsida; Rosales; Rosaceae.